CUCUUAUCAAGAGCGGCUUAGGGACUGGCCCGAUGAAGCCCGGCAACCAGCACAGGAUCUGUUUUUCACUUGUGCAAGGUGCCAAUUCCAGCAGGACACCAGGUGUUCUGGCAGAUGAGAG
Molecule: non-coding RNA, 121 nt
Filed under: Salisediminibacterium selenitireducens
Lineage: Bacteria; Bacillati; Bacillota; Bacilli; Caryophanales; Bacillaceae
Description: Bacillus selenitireducens SAM-I sequence
Rfam family: SAM riboswitch aptamer (S box leader)
About the family: The SAM riboswitch is found upstream of a number of genes which code for proteins involved in methionine or cysteine biosynthesis in Gram-positive bacteria.
Source: RNAcentral